Molecule: ribosomal RNA, 431 nt
Filed under: uncultured bacterium
Lineage: Bacteria
Description: partial 16S ribosomal RNA
Rfam family: Bacterial small subunit ribosomal RNA
Source: RNAcentral
AACGAACGCUGGCGGCAGGCUUAACACAUGCAAGUCGAACGCCCCGCAAGGGGAGUGGCAGACGGGUGAGUAACGCGUGGGAACAUACCCUUUUCUACGGAAUAGCUCUGGGAAACUGGAAUUAAUACCGUAUACGCCCUACGGGGGAAAGAUUUAUCGGGGAAGGAUUGGCCCGCGUUGGAUUAGCUAGUUGGUGGGGUAAAGGCCUACCAAGGCGACGAUCCAUAGCUGGUCUGAGAGGAUGAUCAGCCACAUUGGGACUGAGACACGGCCCAAACUCCUACGGGAGGCAGCAGUGGGGAAUAUUGGACAAUGGGCGCAAGCCUGAUCCAGCCAUACCGCGUGAGUGAUGAAGGCCUUAGGGUUGUAAAGCUCUUUCACCGAUGAAGAUAAUGACGGUAGUCGGAGAAGAAGCCCCGGCUAACUUCGUG